This 73-nucleotide transfer RNA is filed under the name Tequintavirus T5. Its description in RNAcentral is "Enterobacteria phage T5 tRNA". It matches the Rfam family "tRNA". From Rfam's summary of the family: Transfer RNA (tRNA) molecules are approximately 80 nucleotides in length. Their secondary structure includes four short double-helical elements and three loops (D, anti-codon, and T loops). The record is from Rfam by way of RNAcentral. Lineage: Duplodnaviria; Heunggongvirae; Uroviricota; Caudoviricetes; Demerecviridae.
AGAAGGUUAGCCAAGUCGGUUAAGGCUGGGAUCUCUGAAACCACUGAUCGUGGUUCGAACCCACUACCUUCUG